CAGGGAGCCUGCAGGUGACUCAGCCCCUCACCAUUUCCUGGAGCAGAAAUGAGGCAUCUGUCCAGAGCAGCUCCGGGGCGGUGGGCACGUUUGCCUCUGCAUGCCGAGUGGAUUCCCCGAAGUGGUGGCCAGCUACAGAGCAGGCAGUGAGUGAGCUCCUGGCGGCGUGGGGCGCGAAUCUUCCCCUCUCUCCCCUUCAGUGGGGGACCCAGCCGUCCCUUCAGACCCUCCCCUCCUGCCUGGCCCAGGGGUCUCCUUCUGGCACAUUCCCUUCCCACCCUGGGACCACCCCCUUCAGCACCCAUGCUGCCCGAUUUCAGAGUCCUUCUCCUGACCCUGCGUGUCCACCCUAGCAUCCCCGCCACUCACCAGCCCCCGGGGGCACACUCCGCGGGCCGGCGAGGUGCUCCACCGUCCUGGGCUGGGCAGCAUGCGGCUGGCCUGCCCACCGCCAGGCUCUGGACACCUCCCUUGCAUCUCAUCUCGUCUCCUGGUUGUGAAAACCGUACUUGGGAGCCAAGUGGACGUGGUGGUUACACAACACUGGAAUGUUCUAAAUGCCA
Molecule: long non-coding RNA, 563 nt
Organism: Canis lupus familiaris (dog)
Lineage: Eukaryota; Metazoa; Chordata; Mammalia; Carnivora; Canidae
Exons: 2
Source: RefSeq, a predicted model, not a curated record